RNAcentral lists this ribosomal RNA (468 nucleotides) under uncultured bacterium. Its description in RNAcentral is "partial 16S ribosomal RNA". It matches the Rfam family "Bacterial small subunit ribosomal RNA", at positions 28 to 507 of the family's 1533-position model. The record is from RNAcentral.
GACGAACGCUGGCGGCGUGCUUUACACAUGCAAGUCGAACGGAAAGGCCCUUCUUUUUUGUGGUGCUCGAGUGGCGAACGGGUGAUGAACACGUGAGUGACCUGCCCUUGACUUUAGGAUAACUUCAGCAAACUUGGUCUAAUACCUGAUAGGAGCUCCUGCUGCAGGGUGGGGGUUGGAAAGUUUCGGCGGUUGGGGAUGGACUCGCGGCUUAUCAGCUUGUUGGUGGGGUAGGUGCUUACCAAGGCUUUGACGGGUAGCCGGCCUGAGAGGGUGACCGGCGACAUUGGGACUGAGAUACGGCCCAGACUCCUACGGGAGGCAGCAGUGGCGAAUAUUGCACAAUGGGCGGAAGCCUGAUGCAGAAACGCCGCGUGCGGGAUGAGGGCCUUCGGGUUGCAAACAGCUUUCGCCUGUGACGAAGCGUGAGUGACGGUAAUGGGUAAAGAAGCACCGGCUAACUACGUG